Molecule: small nuclear RNA, 23 nt
Filed under: Arabidopsis thaliana (thale cress)
Lineage: Eukaryota; Viridiplantae; Streptophyta; Magnoliopsida; Brassicales; Brassicaceae
Description: snRNA_12631
Source: RNAcentral
AAACAGAGUGUAGCAAGUGCCUU